Long non-coding RNA from Lontra canadensis (Northern American river otter), 254 nucleotides. RefSeq lists it as uncharacterized. NCBI's taxonomy places the organism in Eukaryota, Metazoa, Chordata, Mammalia, Carnivora, Mustelidae. The record is from RefSeq and is a predicted model, not a curated record. The transcript is spliced from 3 exons.
GACACCUUCGUGCCGGAAGCUUCUCUCCACUUAGAGCCCAGGGCUCCGGACAUGCACCUGAGGAACUGUUGACUUCAGGUGUGUCAAACAGCCCGUAAACAAUAGAAAACCCGGUAAUAAAGUCCCCCAGUGCAGGUUUCUCUUGAGGCUCAACUGGGAACUAUCAGAAUCCUUCCGCGAGAACUCACUCAGAUUUUGAGAGCUUUCAAUUGCGUAAAAUUGGCAAAGCCCAGGUGCGCAGAGCUUCGGUUAAA